AUUGAACGCUGGCGGCAGGCCUAACACAUGCAAGUCGAGCGGAUGAAGGGAGCUUGCUCCUGGAUUCAGCGGCGGACGGGUGAGUAAUGCCUAGGAAUCUGCCUGGUAGUGGGGGAUAACGUCCGGAAACGGGCGCUAAUACCGCAUACGUCCUGAUGGAGAAAGUGGGGGAUCUUCGGACCUCACGCUAUCAGAUGAGCCUAGGUCGGAUUAGCUAGUUGGUGGGGUAAAGGCCUACCAAGGCGACGAUCCGUAACUGGUCUGAGAGGAUGAUCAGUCACACGGGAACUGAGACACGGUCCAGACUCCUACGGGAGGCAGCAGUGGGGAAUAUUGGACAAUGGGCGAAAGCCUGAUCCAGCCAUGCCGCGUGGGGGAAGAAGGUCUUCGGAUUGUAAAGCACUUUAAGUUGGGAGGAAGGGCAGUAAGGUAAUACCUUGCUGUUUUGACGGUACCAACAGAAUAAGCACCGGCUAACUUCGUG
Molecule: ribosomal RNA, 484 nt
Filed under: uncultured bacterium
Lineage: Bacteria
Description: partial 16S ribosomal RNA
Rfam family: Bacterial small subunit ribosomal RNA
Source: RNAcentral